CCCUUAGAUGUUCUGGGCCGCACGCGCGCUACACUGUUUGAUUCAGCGAGUCUUAACCUUGACCGAAAGGUUUGGGUAAUCUUCUAAAGUCAAACGUGAUGGGGAUCGAUCAUUGCAAUUAUUGAUCGUGAACGAGGAAUUCCUAGUAAAUGCAAGUCAUCAGCUUGCGUUGAUUACGUCCCUGCCCUUUGUACACACCGCCCGUCGCUACUACCGAUUGAAUGGUUUAGUGAGAUCUCCGGAUUGGCUCUGUAGGUCCCGCAAGGGAUUUAUUAGUAGCCAAGAAGCUGCUCAAACUUGAUAAUUUAGAGGAAGUAAAAGUCGUAACA
This 329-nucleotide ribosomal RNA is filed under the name uncultured eukaryote. RNAcentral's name for it is "partial 18S ribosomal RNA". It matches the Rfam family "Eukaryotic small subunit ribosomal RNA", at positions 1470 to 1796 of the family's 1831-position model. The record is from RNAcentral.